GAUGAACGCUAGCUACAGGCUUAACACAUGCAAGUCGAGGGGAAACGACAUCGAAAGCUUGCUUUUGAUGGGCGUCGACCGGCGCACGGGUGAGUAACGCGUAUCCAACCUGCCCACCACUUGGGGAUAACCUUGCGAAAGUAAGACUAAUACCCAAUGAUAUCCCACGAAGACAUCUGAAUGGGAUUAAAGAUUUAUCGGUGAUGGAUGGGGAUGCGUCUGAUUAGCUUGUUGGCGGGGUAACGGCCCACCAAGGCAACGAUCAGUAGGGGUUCUGAGAGGAAGGUCCCCCACAUUGGAACUGAGACACGGUCCAAACUCCUACGGGAGGCAGCAGUGAGGAAUAUUGGUCAAUGGGCGAGAGCCUGAACCAGCCAAGUAGCGUGCAGGAAGACGGCCCUAUGGGUUGUAAACUGCUUUUAUAAGGGAAUAAAGUGGGUCACGUGUGACUUUUUGCAUGUACCUUAUGAAUAAGAACCGGCUAAUUCCGUG
RNAcentral lists this ribosomal RNA (492 nucleotides) under uncultured bacterium. RNAcentral describes it as "partial 16S ribosomal RNA". It matches the Rfam family "Bacterial small subunit ribosomal RNA", at positions 28 to 507 of the family's 1533-position model. The record is from RNAcentral.